Molecule: long non-coding RNA, 1344 nt
Filed under: Salmo salar (Atlantic salmon)
Lineage: Eukaryota; Metazoa; Chordata; Actinopteri; Salmoniformes; Salmonidae
Description: lncRNA (ENSSSAG00000109514.1)
Source: RNAcentral
GGGACAUUAGGGUUAUAUACUGUUAUUGAUCAGUGGUUAGAGGGACAUUAGGGUUAUAUACUGUUAUUGAUUAGAGAGACAUUAGGGUUAUAUACUGUUAUUGAUUAGAGGGACAUUAGGGUUAUAUACUGUUAUUGAUUAGAGGGACAUUAGGGUUAUAUACUGUUAUUGAUUAGAGGGACAUUAGGGUUAUAUACUGUUAUUGAUCAGAGAGACAUUAGGGUUAUAUACUGUUAUUGAUUAGAGAGACAUUAGGGUUAUAUACUGUUAUUGAUUAGAGAGACAUUAGGGUUAUAUACUGUUAUUGGUUAGAGGGACAUUAGGGUUAUAUACUGUUAUUGAUCAGUGGGACAUUAGGGUUAUAUACUGUUAUUGAUCAGAGAGACAUUAGGGUUAUAUACUGUUAUUGAUUAGUGGGACAUUAGGGUUAUAUACUGUUAUUGAUUAGAGAGACAUUAGGGUUAUAUACUGUUAUUGAUUAGUGGGACAUUAGGGUUAUAUACUGUUAUUGAUUAGAGAGACAUUAGGGUUAUAUACUGUUAUUGAUUAGAGAGACAUUAGGGUUAUAUACUGUUAUUGAUCAGAGGUUAGAGAGACAUUAGGGUUAUAUACUGUUAUUGAUCAGAGAGACAUUAGGGUUAUAUACUGUUAUUGAUUAGAGGGACAUUAGGGUUAUAUACUGUUAUUGAUUAGUGGGACAUUAGGGUUAUAUACUGUUAUUGAUUAGAGGGACAUUAGGGUUAUAUACUGUUAUUGAUUAGAGGUUAGAGAGACAUUAGGGUUAUAUACUAUUAUUGAUCAGAGAGACAUUAGGGUUAUAUACUGUUAUUGAUUAGAGGGACAUUAGGGUUAUAUACUGUUAUUGAUUAGAGGGACAUUAGGGUUAUAUACUGUUAUUGAUUAGAGAGACAUUAGGGUUAUAUACUGUUAUUGAUUAGAGAGACAUUAGGGUUAUAUACUGUUAUUGAUUAGAGGGACAUUAGGGUUAUAUACUGUUAUUGAUUAGUGGUUAGAGAGACAUUAGGGUUAUAUAUUGUUAUUGAUUAGAGAGACAUUAGGGUUAUAUACUGUUAUUGAUCAGAGAGACAUUAGGGUUAUAUACUGUUAUUGAUUAGAGAGACAUUAGGGUUAUAUACUGUUAUUGAUCAGUGGUUAGAGGGACAUUAGGGUUAUAUACUGUUAUUGAUUAGAGAGACAUUAGGGUUAUAUACUGUUAUUGAUCAGAGAGACAUUAGGGUUAUAUACUGUUAUUGAUCAGAGAGACAUUAGGGUUAUAUACUGUUAUUGAUUAGAGGUUAGAGAGACAUUAGGGUUAUAUACUGUUAUUGAUCAGAGAGACAUUAG